CCUACGGGUGGCUGCAGUGGGGAAUAUUGCACAAUGGGCGCAAGCCUGAUGCAGCCAUGCCGCGUGUGUGAAGAAGGCCUUCGGGUUGUAAAGCACUUUCAGCGGGGAGGAAGGCGUUAAGGUUAAUAACCUUGGCGAUUGACGUUACCCGCAGAAGAAGCACCGGCUAACUCCGUGCCAGCAGCCGCGGUAAUACGGAGGGUGCAAGCGUUAAUCGGAAUUACUGGGCGUAAAGCGCACGCAGGUGGUCUGUCAAGUCGGAUGUGAAAUCCCCGGGCUCAACCUGGGAACUGCAUUCGAAACUGGCAGGCUAGAGUCUUGUAGAGGGGGGUAGAAUUCCAGGUGUAGCGGUGAAAUGCGUAGAGAUCUGGAGGAAUACCGGUGGCGAAGGCGGCCCCCUGGACAAAGACUGACGCUCAGGUGCGAAAGCGUGGGGAGCAAACAGGAUUAGAUACCCGGGUAGUC
RNAcentral lists this ribosomal RNA (465 nucleotides) under uncultured Klebsiella sp. RNAcentral describes it as "bacterial SSU rRNA". It matches the Rfam family "Bacterial small subunit ribosomal RNA", at positions 338 to 795 of the family's 1533-position model. Lineage: Bacteria; Pseudomonadati; Pseudomonadota; Gammaproteobacteria; Enterobacterales; Enterobacteriaceae. The record is from RNAcentral.